This 497-nucleotide ribosomal RNA is filed under the name uncultured bacterium. RNAcentral describes it as "partial 16S ribosomal RNA". It matches the Rfam family "Bacterial small subunit ribosomal RNA", at positions 28 to 507 of the family's 1533-position model. The record is from RNAcentral.
GAUGAACGCUGGCGGCGUGCCUAAUACAUGCAAGUCGAGCGAACGGACGAGAAGCUUGCUUCUCUGAUGUUAGCGGCGGACGGGUGAGUAACACGUGUAUAACCUACCUAUAAGACUGGGAUAACUUCGGGAAACCGGAUCUAAUACCGGAUAAUAUUUUGAACCGCAUGGUUCAAAAGUGAAAGACGUUCUUGCUGUCACUUAUAGAUGGAUCCGCGCUGCAUUAGCUAGUUGGUAAGGUAACGGCUUACCAAGGCAACGAUGCAUAGCCGACCUGAGAGGGUGAUCGGCCACACUGGAACUGAGACACGGUCCAGACUCCUACGGGAGGCAGCAGUAGGGAAUAUUCCGCAAUGGGCGAAAGCCUGACGGAGCAACGCCGCGUGAGUGAUGAAGGUCUUCGGAUCGUAAAACUCUGUUAUUAGGGAAGAACAGAUGUGUAAGUAACUGUGCACAUCUUGACGGUACCUAAUCAGAAAGCCACGGCUAACUACGUG